Triticum aestivum (bread wheat) is the source of this 125-nucleotide non-coding RNA. Lineage: Eukaryota; Viridiplantae; Streptophyta; Magnoliopsida; Poales; Poaceae. The record is from Rfam.
UAAUUACUCCCUCCGUCCGGAAAUACUUGUCAUAGAAAUGACUAAAAAUGGAUGUAUCUAACACUAAAAUACGUCUAGAUACGUUUGUUCCUCCGACAAGUAUUUCUGGACGGAGGGAGUAUGUC